Long non-coding RNA from Anguilla rostrata (American eel), 2094 nucleotides. RefSeq lists it as uncharacterized. The record is from RefSeq and is a predicted model, not a curated record. The transcript has 2 exons. Lineage: Eukaryota; Metazoa; Chordata; Actinopteri; Anguilliformes; Anguillidae.
UGUUACCCAACCCAUGUUUCAUACGUAACUAAGCCCACAGUCUAAGCAAAAAGGAAAUGAGCAGAACCUGACAGCCUCGUUUGUCUAACAAAACAAAAAUUCACACGUCAAGAGUUCGUGAGAAUGCAAUGUUACUUUUCGAAGGCAAAAAUGUGUUUCACAAUGAAACCAUAACGUACAUUUAGCUUCGUUCUUCGCGCUUUUGAACGGCUCUAAACUACUAUAACAUCGACUACAUUUAGCUUAAUUCUUCGCACUUCUGAAAGGCUAUAACGUGGGAAUGUGACGUGUCGGCGUUGGAAAGCUGCGGGUGCGUGGAAUGCUGCAGUUCCUGAAAUAGAUGUGAAAGCAAGAGAUUGAUGAAGUGUUGGUGAACAUGGUUGAGAAAGAUUCUGAGCCAUUCACCAUAGUGGAGGAUGAGGGGAUCGGGGAGUUUCUGCAAAGGACCCUACCUAUGUUCUCCCUCCAAGGCAGGUAUGUAUAUGGGUAUGGAAAAGUGGAAGACAAAUUUUACAUUAGGUAAUCAAUCACUCUUCAUCUCUUCUUAGGCCUCUAAAGGCAAUGGUAGACAACAAAUACAAGAAGAACGCAAAGGCUCAAAUGCAGAAGCUGGAUUCAUUGAGCCAGUUAAGAGAAAGAAAUGAGAUAUGUCUUCCUGAAAAGAAUACAUCCCUUGCUUUACAUCUGAUUCUGGAUCUGAGACUGAAUUUGAAAGCCCUGCAAUAAGUCAAGUGAAAACAAAUGCCCUUGCAUUCAAUGGAACACCAAGUAGUUACCUGGACAAUCAAAUGGAGGCACCUGUGGACCUGGCUAUGCCAUAAAACCACCAGAACCACACAGAUGACACUUCUGACCAACCAGAUUCAACCACCAUAACAGGAAGCGGACACAGUUCCUGCUUUGGUUGUGGAGAGGCUGAAUCAAAACUUGUCAGACACUUCAAAGGUCAUGUAAGGGAAGAUGCAGACAUAGCAAAAGCACCAAGUUUUUCCUGAGAGGUCAAAAGUUUGUUUGUGUGAAACGAGCUCGGGAGGUUGAUGGUGAGAUGCUCUUUCAAACCACAGAAUAAAUAUCAGGAGGUUCAUAAGGGCAGAAAGACCACUGCAGCACCGGCAAAGUCUGUUUUCUGAAGCCUUCAAGGAAUGUGUCCUAAAGCUGUUGAGUCACACGAAUGAUCAUGGUAUUGAGUGGUGCACAAUGACUUUGGCCUCCUACAGUUUGCCCAGUCUCUGCAACAAACAUGGGUGUAAGAAAUCGAAGCAUGAAUAUAUUCCCUAAAAACUUUGUUAACUUGGAUGAUGUCUGCUGACUCCUACACAAGACACGUCCAGAUAUGUCCCCGCAGCAGGGUUUCCCCUUCAAUACAUUACAUGGGGUGGACCACCACACCUAACACAGUUGGUGGUCCAUCUACAAUGUAUAAAACAUAAUAUGCCAAUGUCAUUAUUUGAAAAGUAAUUUACUAUGAUUUAAAAGCAAUAAUUUGACCAUUUGUUUGUGUAAGAGCUCCAUUUUGUGAUCCAUCUUCGGAAAUGAUCAACAAUGCAAUACAUUUGUGUGGACACCCUUUGGUUAGUAACCAACAACAAGUAUGCAAUGGCAGUGUUUUGAUUAGCAGUUAUUACACUAUGAUUGGCUGCUUGGCCAUGUGCAGAUGAGUGGAUCUCUUUUCGUAGUCAGAGAUUAACCUUAAGAAAGUGACUAACUUGGCUGGCAAAAUGAUAAAGUCAUCUUCAGCUAAAUAAGGGUCAGGUAAAGGCCUCAUCUUUCAUCCAUGUAAAUGACAUUGGGGAUGAGGGUGACACUGUGAGCUGUUCUGUUGUCAGUGAAAACACAGAUAAUACAGAAGCCAACGCCAACGAUACAGGUGCAGCCCAGCUGCCAAAACAAUGGGAGUCGGUGUGGAACCCAGCCUAGCUCGAGGGCCCUCACCACAAACCACAAGCCUAGGAGAGCAACUCAUUCAUAACUAAUGUUUGCCAUCUUCAUUAGAUAACGAAGCUCCAAAGUAUCCCUAUCACAGAGAUUAAACAAUGCUAUUUCAGCCGUCUUGGUUAACGUAACAUUAAACAUUAAACUGUUUAACGUUUAUCC